Neopsephotus bourkii (Bourke's parrot) is the source of this 121-nucleotide small nuclear RNA. RefSeq annotates it as U4 spliceosomal RNA. The transcript has a single exon. The record is from RefSeq and is a predicted model, not a curated record. Lineage: Eukaryota; Metazoa; Chordata; Aves; Psittaciformes; Psittacidae.
AGCUUUGCUCAGUGGUAGUAUCAUAGCCAAUAAGGUUAAUCUGAGACUCGAUUAUUGCUAAUUGAAAACUUAUCCCAUUUUGGCUUCAAAUGUAAAAAGGGAAGUUUAGAUUGGAUAUAAG